Molecule: ribosomal RNA, 468 nt
Filed under: uncultured bacterium
Lineage: Bacteria
Description: partial 16S ribosomal RNA
Rfam family: Bacterial small subunit ribosomal RNA
Source: RNAcentral
GACGAACGCUGGCGGCGUGCUUAACACAUGCAAGUCGAACGGAAAGGCCCUGCUCUUGUGGGGUGCUCGAGUGGCGAAAGGGUGAGUAACACGUGAGUAACCUGCCCUUGACUUUGGGAUAACUUCAGGAAACUGGGGCUAAUACCGGAUAGGAGCUCCUGCUGCAUGGUGGGGGUUGGAAAGUUUCGGCGGUUGGGGAUGGACUCGCGGCUUAUCAGCUUGUUGGUGGGGUAGGGGCUUACCAAGGCUUUGACGGGUAGCCGGCCUGAGAGGGUGACCGGCCACAUUGGGACUGAGAUACGGCCCAGACUCGUACGGGAGGCAGCGGUGGGGAAUAUUGCACAAGGGGCGGAGGCCUGGUGCAGCAACGCCGCGUGCGGGAUGACGGCCUUCGGGUUGGAAACCGCUUUCGCCUGGGACGAAGCGUGAGUGACGGUAAUGGGUAAAGAAGCACCGGCUAACUACGUG